UCUCAGUCUCUUCUGUUACUGAAUCUGUUGGAUGCAAUGCAGAUGCCACAUAACCAGAUGAAUUUUGAAUCACAGAAUGGCCCGGGUUGGAAGGGACCUCAAGAUCAUGAAUCUCCAACCCCCUUGCCACAAGCAGGGCCACCAACCUCCUGAUUUAAUACUACAUCAGGUUCCCCAGGAUCCCAUCCACCCCGGCCUUGAACAUCUCCAGGGAUGGGGCAUCCACACGGUUUCAAGCUAAUGGAUCUCAAAAGGACAACAGCCAGUUUUAAGGGCAGAUGAAGAAGCAAAUGCUUCAUUCUGACUAUGACAACCAGAUGGCAUGGAGCACGCUGAAGCAACCACCAAGCAGUGCCUUGAAGAGCAGUAUAGCAUCGGUGCGAGAAGGUCAGAUGUUGGGGCAUGAUUUUCUGGGGCUUCACAUCCACGAGAUGGUGUAACAGCAUCACUAGAUCAGCAGAGGAAACAGCUUUGAGGUGAAGUGUACAGGUAAAACAUAUAUCUACAAACUCUUUUUCCGGGGAGAGAAGACAAGAUUUCAUGCCAGAUCAAAUCAUGUAGAUUAAAUGUCAACAGCCAUAAACUUCAGAAAGAAGGUGCAGCAACACACAGUUGUUUUGGCUUCUCCAUGCCUGGUUUGCUGUCAGUGUGAUUAGAGAGAAGGAAUCCUUCUUGAAGGAUGUCUUCCAAGAGCUGAGGUGUCACAUCUGAAUUAAGUUCACAAAGGACAAACCAAUUCUGAAUUUUGUGCCUGCAGUAUCCCAAACAUGUAUGGACAGUUAGUCUGAAAGUAUAACGGGGACAAAGAAACAGACUUUGCCAAAGAAAUAUCAACAGGACUAUCAAAAAGCUACUUAAAAUGUUUAAGACUGUGAAGACUUAGGGUUUGGACAGAAGUGACUUAGCACAUUAUGGAGGAAGGUGCUUGAACGUGCUUCUGAGGGCAGCUGUUUCCUUUCACUUCUGCCCUGUACCAAAAGAAAUGAAAGAAGAAAGAAAAACAUAGGAAGAAAGAGAAAGAAAGGUGUGAGAGACAACUUUCAUGUACAACUGAAGGGGUUUCUGUGCUGAAUCAAAAAUGUUCGGUGUUGAAGAGAAUGCUUUGGCUUUUGAAUAUGGAGAGAAGGAGACAUUUCCCAUCACUGUGACUAGUCUUUUUAAAUGGAACUGAAAUGGAACUUUCCAAAAGUCCACCACUUCGCAGCAACUGGUGUCCUCUGCGAGAGGGAGGCACAAUGUUGGAAUUUUUCUAUAGAAGAUAUGUAAAUGCAAAGCAACCUGAGAGCAAGCACACUCCAGUACUGCAUGUACAAUCCAGAGCUGAGAUUUCCUGAGGAGAAAGUGCCCAAUGAUGGAAUUUUACUUUCCAAGUGUGGAUGACUGAAGGACAGUUUGAAAAGCCUUCUAUCAAUAUUAGAGGAUACUUGAAAGAGUUUAGAAUCUGCUUCCGCUUUGAGAUGAGGAGGAGACAGAUGUGAGAGAACAUGUGAAGGCUGGCACUGGCUUUGAGACGAGGAGCCACAGGCUUCCGUGGUGCCGCUGGAUACCACAGACCUAACCAGUGUUGUUCAGCUCCAUUAAUGCUUUUUGAUUUGGAAGCACAAAUGAAAAAGUCUCUUGCAGUGGCCCAAAGAGAUGAUAUCUAGAGAGUCUAAGGCUACAAGCUUAAUGUGUGCCUGGUCUCUCCCAAGCUCCAGUUCUCGUUUUAUUGGAAAUUUACUGAAUCACCACGAAGAUUUGAGUUUAGUAUUAAAUAAUGAACAACUGGAAACUAGUAAAUUUAAAACCAUCAAAAAGCUUCAAGAUUCUUCUUGGAUGAAAUCUUUGUUAUCCUGGAUUUACAAAUCCUACUGUAAUUCAGUGACAGUCAAACUUACUUUUUCCCACCUUCAAAGCUAUAAAAAACUUUGCUUGCUACAGAAAUUGCAGAGCUAAAUAUACCUUCAGAUUUCUGUGAAUAUAAGCCAUUUCUCCCUGAAUUUUGCUGGCUAGAUUGAAUUUCUCUCUCUUUUUUUUUUAAGGAAAUACGUAACAGUUGGUAUUAACUUAUUAGGUGUACUUGGUAAGUAAAUGUAUUUUAAAACUUUUUUACAGAAUAUUUCUUUCAAAAUAGCUGUAAGAUACUGAAAUACUUGUUUUAUAACAUCACCUAUCAUGAUUGAAUGGAACGAGGUAAUGUCCAACACUGUCUGAGUAACUUCAUCCUUCUUCCAAAUUUGCUGAACGAUCAUUUACUGUUUCCUAUGUCAGAUGAUCAAGCAUUUUAUUAAUGAAUCUUAUAAAAAACUUAUUCAAAACCAUACUGGAAUUCAAUGACAGAUCUGAAAAUUGAAUGGCUUUUGUGCAUGGACCACCAUAGGUUGUAUCAGGAAGAUCCUGAUAUAACCAAGUAGUCCUCCAAAGACAAACCUCUCUCCAGGAGUAAAAUACGAGCUACAGUCCUGGAGGGGGUUAACCCUCAGUUUAAGAAUAGUUAUUCAUUCCUGUAAUUGAAUACAAAAGACGUAGGGAUUGAUUUUCACCUACACCCAAAUUCAUGGCUCCUGUGAGGGUCUAAGCUGCUGACAAAUAAUUUCAGCUUCAGCCAUUGAUUAUGCUUCCAUAGUGAACAUUAGAUAUACACUAAAAUUGAUAUAGCAUGUAUUGCAGGAGUCAUACAAUAAGUACUCCCCAUUUCUUAGCCAAUCUGUCACUACUCUUAAGCUGUGCCAUGCACAGGAGAUGUAGGAUUUGCCUUCCUAAGGAGGAAAUGGCCAUCAAGUAGAAAAAUGAAUUCACCUUUAUUGUACUGUGGUGAUGUGGUGAAGAUAAUUACUGCAGCUCUAUUCCAUUUAUUUUGAAACACAUAGCCUUUGCCUUUUCAAAUUGCCUUGACCAUAUCACCACUCGUGUAUUUGCAAUGAAAAUCUGACAUCAGAGGACAGAAUAAUAACAGGAGAAAUCCUCAUUUCAUAUUUACCUUGUUUACUCUCCUGAGUCACUGAAAACACAGUGACCUAGGUCCAUGCUUUUAUACUUCUUUUUACUAUAUAUACACACAUAUAUAAAAAAAUUAGCGUGUGUACUGCCAAACUCUGUAGGUCGCUACUCAUCUUCCCAGGUAUCUUCACACACCAUAAUUUCUGGUGCUUAGAAUUGGUAGACUGCAAAAAGUAGCACUCCUGUGUUCCCUCUCAUUCAUACUGUGAAUAAUCAAUUCUCCAAGAAUUUUGCUGCUGGUUUCUGACCAGCCAAGCCCAUAUCAAAACCAGCCAAAGUCUAAUCAUAAUUUUGCCAAUUAAAACUUGUGUGCUAUCAUUUGGUGGUUUUUUUUGUUUGCUUUUUAUUUAUUUAUUUUUAUAGCCUAAAGCAUACUGUACUGUCUGCUGUUAAAAUACAAUCCUUUCUGUUUACCUCCUCAUGGCUCACUGAAAAAAAAAGAUACAUGCUCACAAUGACAGCUUUCAAAAUGUUUUCUCUUUUAUUUCUUCAGAUUUCUCCUCAAAGCUUCAAUUUAAUCAAUAAUUCUAACUAGCUAUCAGAGUACUUAUCUUUAUUUUUCCUAAUAAAAAUGAAUAGUUGGAGUAGAAUGUGUCCAAAGCCAUUUUUAUCCAUUCCUUCUUCAUGACUUACCUCUUCUCUUUUGUGUAGCGAAUUUUAGCAUUUCAAAUUUUAAGGUAAAGAAAAAUCCUCUCCUUGAAGAAGAAUUUCUCAUCAAGAGAGCCUUUUUUUUUAAAGUAAGGAUAGCAAAUCCAGCCUGAUGGAAUAAACACCUUAAGACAUUUUCCA
This is a long non-coding RNA of Centrocercus urophasianus (Greater sage-grouse), 3768 nucleotides long. RefSeq lists it as uncharacterized. The record is from RefSeq and is a predicted model, not a curated record. The transcript is spliced from 15 exons. Lineage: Eukaryota; Metazoa; Chordata; Aves; Galliformes; Phasianidae.